Molecule: long non-coding RNA, 358 nt
Organism: Alosa sapidissima (American shad)
Lineage: Eukaryota; Metazoa; Chordata; Actinopteri; Clupeiformes; Clupeidae
Exons: 2
Source: RefSeq, a predicted model, not a curated record
CCUCUUCCCUCACACUCUCUCUCCCUCCAUCCAUCCCUUCAUCAUUCCCUCUCUCUCUCCCCCCGUCCCUCCCUCCCUCUCCCAGUAGUGCUUCAGGUGUUUCCAUCAGGUUGACACAGGUCAAAGGUCACAGGUCAGGGGUCGCUAUGGAGACGACGAUGAAGAAGAUGAUGAUGAUGUACAGGAAGACGCCGUGCAAAAAGCUAAUAGGAUUUAAGAGAUGAUUUAUUUCCCCGUUUAACUGUCACUGUUACGUAGUGGACUUCAGAGGUCACUCCUAGAGGUCAGACACCAUCAUGUUGUUUUGUUUAUUGUUUUUGUUUGUUUCUUGUUGGUGAAGACACUCACCCUUUUCAAA